This 468-nucleotide ribosomal RNA is filed under the name uncultured bacterium. RNAcentral's name for it is "partial 16S ribosomal RNA". It matches the Rfam family "Bacterial small subunit ribosomal RNA", at positions 28 to 507 of the family's 1533-position model. The record is from RNAcentral.
GACGAACGCUGGCGGCGUGCUUAACACAUGCAAGUCGAACGGCAAGGCCCUGCUUUUGUGGGGUGCUCGAGUGGCGAACGGGUGAGUAACACGUGAGUAACCUGCCCUUGACUUUGGGAUAACUUCAGGAAACUGGGGCUAAUACCGGAUAGGAGCUCCUGCUGCAUGGUGGGGGUUGGAAAGUUUCGGCGGUUGGGGAUGGAUGGGCGGCUUAUCAGCUUGUUGGUGGGGUAGUGGCUGACCAAGGGUUUGACGGGUAGCCGGCCUGGGAGGGUGACCGGCCACAUGGGGACUAAGGUAGGGCCCAGUCUCCAACGGGGGGCAACGGUGGGGAGUCUGACACAGUGGGCGGGCGUGUGUGAAGACGACGCUGCGUGCGUAAAGCCGGUUUGUGGGUAAUGAAAAGCAGCCGCCUGUGACGCAGCGGUAGUGACGGUACUGAAAGAAGAAGCACCGGCUAACUUCGUG